Musa acuminata AAA Group (dessert banana) is the source of this 2787-nucleotide RNA transcript. RefSeq lists it as uncharacterized. The record is from RefSeq and is a predicted model, not a curated record. The transcript has 8 exons. Lineage: Eukaryota; Viridiplantae; Streptophyta; Magnoliopsida; Zingiberales; Musaceae.
GGUUAUCUUCCUUUGUUUCUUGGUCCGCUUUGGUUCUCGGUAAGGCCUGGCCUCGAGAUUGCACGUUUGGAGGAUUUGAUGGAGCUGGAGCCGUCUGGCUCUCUUGUUCCAGCAGCGCCCAUCUUGGGGCGUUCAAGGAAAAACCCUUUCGGUUAGAAAUCGGUUAGGCGGUCGAAGAAUUUGAUUCAUUCAGGGCAGCUUUGAUCCAUACUUUUGAUUGCUGAUACGAGUGGAAUGCGUGCCAUCUUGGAAUUGACAUUUUUGGUUCUCGAACUUCUUCUUCCCCCCUCUCGAGUCAGGUCGGUUUGGUUGUCUUCACAUUCGUUUGCUCGAUAGUUCUACAUCAUAUUGAUUUGCGCGCAAGCUGCAGAUAACUCUAUUAUCAUCAGGAUGGCUUUAGGAAGACAUCGUCUCGCUGAUCCGGACCUUUACAACCUGCAUCGGAUGCCAUUUAGGUGAGGCUAACUAUGAGUUAUUAGAUCAACAGCACAAGAUCCUACUUGGGGGUUAACAUCAGUCUGCAUCAGAGUGAGCAUUUAUUACUGUGUACCAGCAAUCAUCUGUAUGAGAUUAGACAGACAAUGUCAAGUACACCGUAAAGAAUGUGCUCGGAAACACCACAUUCACCCAACCUAACCCCAGUUUGGAUUUAGGGCCCUCUCUAAUCACAGAUACGAACCACUACAGCUCCAAUCGAAUGAGGCAACGCAAGUGUUGCCUGCCUGGGCCUUCCACUCGCAAUCUGCAUAUUGUUCUGGUAUUGAAUAUUAGGACUUGAAAGAUCAAACAUAAACAGCAAGCAUCUUUACCGGGUGGGGUGCCACAACACAGCAUAGUUUGCGGUCAUCGAUAUGCUCAACAUCUGAUCCUAUGAACCAAGAUCCUAGUGAUACAUCCUCGUUCACGUACUUGUGCAGUAUAUGCCUGAAAUUGAAGGAGUCAGAGAUUUUAUUUCACCAAGAGAGAACCAAAAACAGACAAAUGAGAUGUAGAAUUGAUCAAGAACUGCUGCUCUGUUAGAUUUUAGCUUUGGUUCAAUGAAAGCAUAAUUUGACUACCGAAUUUAUAUCAAAAUUUUCAAGCUAAAGUUGCCUUACUGGUUUAUGGAUAUAUAGGUGGCCAACUCAUUCGAAAUGGCAUACGAUUGACCAGUAGCAUGUCGGAAGUAUUUGUUACCAUCCCCUCCAAAAAACUUGCAGUGUUCAGGUUCAUAAUAUCUCACCCUCCCCCCUAUAGCAUGCAUGAUAUUUUGCCUGUCAGUAUAGAUCACUUGACGAUGCUAAACUAAUCAAUAACCAAAAUCCAUUGUCUAACACUCACUUUCGAGCAAGGACACAGCCACACUUCAUGCAUCCAAUAUAUACUCGAGGUUUCAAACGAUGCAAAAUUUUGAAGGUAAUCAAAAUAAUCUACAUCCCACUAAACAGGAUGGCCGCACCUUGGCUGAUUACAACAUCCAGAAGGAGUCCUCCUCCGCGGAGUCCUCCGCCUCCUUCUGGAUGCUGUAAUCGGCCUGGGUGCGGCCGCCCUCGAACUGCUUGCCGGAGAUGCGCCUCUGCUGGCCCUCUUAUACUGAAUCGGAGCCUCGACAUUGUCGAGGCUCCGAUUCAGAACUGAACAAUGUUCAGAACUGUACCAGUAUUAUUCAGAAACGGUGGUGUGCUGUAGGAAAAAAAAAAAAGAAACGGUGUUUGCACUGACAAAAAAGAAAAAAAAACGGUGCAAUGUUCAGAACAUGGUUAAUGUUCUGAACACGGCGGCAAUAAUGGCCACGCGAAAGUUCCUCUCUCUCGUCGUCCUCCUCGUCAUCUCCGCCCCCGCUUCCUCUUCCCUCCCCUUCAUCGUCUUGCACGGGAUCGGAGAUCAGUGUGCCAAUAAAGGGGUUGCGCAGUUUACCCAGCUUUUGAGCGAUUGGUCUCGCUCCAAGGGAUACUGCAUAGAAAUUGGAGAUGGAGUCUGGGACUCUUGGGUUAUGCCACUUCAGGAACAGGCAGAUGUUGUAUGUCAGAAGGUAAAGGAGAUGGAGGAACUUAGCAUGGGUUACAACAUAGUUGGUCUUUCGCAGCAACAUUGGGAAACACUUUAGCAAGGCAACGUUUGAAACCUCGAGUAUAUAUUGGAUGCAUGAAGUGUGGCUGUGUCCUUGCUCGAAAGGGGGGUGAGAUAUUAUGAACCUGAACACUGCAAGUUUUUUGGAGGGGAUGGCAACAAAUACUUCCGACAUGCUACUGGUCAAUCGUAUGCCAUUUCGAAUGAGUUGGCCACCUAUAUAUCCAUAAACCAGUAUCACAGACCAGUUGGGAGACUGCACCGCUCUUAACCACUUGAAGUCAUCCACAUUGGCCCAAUUCCCCGUUUCCUCCUCCAGCCCGGAGUCUCUCAGCUCCUCGAUCCCUUCGUAGAACAAUAAGUUUCCUGUCUUGAAAAUGACAGGAAAACAACGUCAAGGCCGGGGAAGGGGCAUACUUUGUAGCGUAAAUGCUGCAUACUUCGAUUAGGACCGUUCUUAACAUAGCGAAAGAUAGAACGGGUGGUAUCCGAGGCGAGAUUUGGGUUCGCAAAUAGACCCAAUCGUUGAGUUAGAUUUGGGUUCGUGUAAAUGUAAUAAGGGUUGCAAUUAGGUGAAAUUGACUUGGGUCAGGUCAGACCGCAGAAGCAACUGAUGAGAGUGGAUGUAAAGACCAAAUAAUUAAAUGAGGAUAUAAGUGAUAGUAAGUGUAUGUUUGAAUAAUGAAAUGUGUAUUAAGGUCCGAUGCAUAUUUCAAAUAUGAAUUGAUGUUUCAUACA